UUACGGUCAUAUCACGUCGAAACAUCGGUUCCCGUACUAUCACCAAAGUUAAGGAACGUCGAGCCUUGUUGGUAUUUAGUUGGGUGACCGCUUGGUAAUACUAGGA
This is a non-coding RNA of Acanthosepion pharaonis, 106 nucleotides long. Lineage: Eukaryota; Metazoa; Mollusca; Cephalopoda; Sepiida; Sepiidae. The record is from the annotation of a GenBank genome assembly.